CCCUUAUUGAAAGGGUUGGAAAAGGAUCAGAUUGGGUGGAUGGCUGAAAUGCUUGUGUGACUCCAUCCAUGAAUUAGGCUAUGUGUGUGUGAAAGAGCGAAGGGAGGGAGGAAGGUUGGCUUAUGAAUUCCACUGGGAACUGCUCAUAUAGGCAGGAAAUACUGGAUGUCCAGGAAUCAAUGGAAAAACAUUCAAUAUGCUCUAAAUGAUUACAAUAUACAAAACUUACGUAAAAACAUGUGUUUUUCAGUUGAUUACAAUGUGAAUUUUAUCAUGUCUUGAUCUGUGAUUGGCACAAUAUAUUACACUAACCCCAUAUAAUACUCUCAGCAAAUUACUAAAAAAGUCAUAAAUCUAUUGGAUGAAGGUCAAUUGUGUUAUAAAUCUUUCAAUUUUGCCAAUUUAGUCAUAAGUAUUUUGACAAUUUGCAAUGAAGUUUUUCCAACCAAAUAUGACUAGAAAAUCAAUAAGGUGAAUGCCAGCUAUCCCGUGACACGACUGGUAUUGACGUGGACAACGUUUGUAAUUUUUUUUUUUUUAAAUGUUUUGAAUUUUGUUUUUCUUUGUUGGGAUUCUAGCUAGUAGGGCCCUUGUAAUGACCGGUGAUGCCCUCGUCGGCCACAAGCAAGCACCUGCGUGCCCUCACUAGCCACAAGCGAGUGCCUUUGGGCCCUUAUUGAUUGCAAGUGAGGGAGUCACAUCCCUCCCCUGUGGCCAAUGAGGGUCAACCGGCAGCCUCACCGGCUCAAAGUUGGAAAAAAAAAAAGAAAAAGAAAAGAAAAGAAAAGAAGAGAACAUAAAAGAAAAAAAAAUUAAAAAAGCUAUCCACAUAAGCACCAACCAUGCUAGAAUAGCCAGCGUCUACGUUAGCGAUUUCCGGUCAAUUCAUUAGUGAUCGCCAUGUUUAGAACUAAAUUGACCAAGUAAUGUUAAUCUUAUUCCUUUUUUGGUGCAUUAAAGGGAAGUGCAUCCAACAUGACAACCUAUGACAUUACCUAGUAUAUAACAUCCUCUCUCUCUCUCUCUCUCUCUCUCUCUCUCUCUCUCUCUCUCUCUCUCUCUCUCUCUCUCUCUCUCUCUCUCUCUCUCUCUCUCUCUCUCUCUCUCUCUCUCUCUCUCUCUCACCUGCUUGAUGUGGUCGUGGAAAUCAUAGGCCAUGUUGAUCUCUUCUCACCUGCUCUCUCUGUCUCUGGAAAUCACACGCCGCGCGCUCUCUCUCUCUUCUUCAAGUUCAUGCUCAUGCAUGUUGGCAGAGUAGAGAGCUCUCUCUCUAUAUACACACAUGGUUAUUCCUUGUGAUCGCGCUACACUACAAAUUCAUAAAAAUCGUCCAUUUUUUUUUUUUUUUGCAUCAUGUGCCCUUACGUAAAGGGCAAGUCAAGUUGUUUCUUCUUCCACGUAUGCUUUACUAAAAUGGUUAAAUUAUACUUUCGAUCCCUGAACUUGAGAGCAAUUUUUUUCUCCAAUCAAAUGCUCCUCAACUUUUAGCUUGUUUCAUCAAGUUAUGAACUUGUAUAGCUUUUCUAAUCAAGUCUCUUCAGCUUCAAAUAUAGUUAAUCGGAUCCGACGCAUCUUUUUCCAUAAACUAUCACAUCUUUCUCUUGUCUAUUUUCAUCACCUACAUAUUCCUUCUAUUCUCAAUCUUUCUUUGACACGCUGUUAGGUUUAACCGUCUCAUUUUUGGUACAAUUGCAGAUGAGUUGAACUAUCAGGAGGAAUCUAUUAAAUUUUGCUAAAUAAAGGGACCAUUCAUUGAAUAGUCUCACGCCCUAGUAUUCCUUUGUCUUUUUAUAACAAUGAGAUGUCUGGGGCAGAGCACUCGACUAAUUAUUACUGGGUAUUGUGGUCCUUCAUUCCCCACACAUCAUGCGUAAUCACCGAAAAUACAAGGAUCUGUGCACGUAGGGGCUCGAGAGAAAAGUGCAAGUGUGAUGAUUUGAACUCAUGUCAUGAGUGAAAAAGAGACACGAAUUCACCACUUAAGCAACCCCUUGGAUUUAAAUCUGGAGAUUAUUCUAAAUUGAAUGAAUAUGAGACAUGACAAAGUCUAAAACGGUUAUCACUGCAUGUGAGACAUAUAUGAAUACACGGACAAUAUUUUAGCAUAAUAUUUAGUUGGUUCUUUUCAUCAUUUUAAUUCUACAAUAUAGGAGUGAUUUUUACAACUCUAUAUAAUGAGCCGUGUGAAUCUAAUUCUAGUAAAAAUUAUAUAUAUUUACUUGUAGGUCUUGUUCAUCAAUGUAAUUAUAGCCUCCUAUUAGGGAAGUGUUUUACUUCCUAUUGGUGGACAAGUUGGGCUUGAAGAAUAUGCCGGAACUCUGGUCUGCACACACGAACACGGGUUGAAGUGUUCGAAUAUUUUAUCUAGAUUCGUGCUCCAAUAUUUAAAUUAGGUAGGGAAGAAUAUGUGCAGAUACUGAGCUUAAAAGGAAGAUGAUAACCUAAAUACUAUAAACUUUACUUGAGUCCCUUGGCAGUAUUUAUAGACAAGCUUACCCUGGCGGGUGAAUGGUCGCUAACAUAGGUGAUGGCUUGCUUGGACACGUGAGGACUUUGACAUGCCAGGUGGGUCACUGACAAUUUUACAAAUGGGUGGAAAUUAGUCUAUGAUAUUUGAGCCCAACUCUUUAUGAGGUCUAUAGGGAUUUGCACAAGACCCAUAUUCGACCCAUUUAGUUUAUCAGCUCCAACCCAUAAUUUGAGAUGAAGAAACUUCUUCUGCUGCAAGAAGAGCACACUUGGCUAUUAUAUCCUACGUCACGAACACUUCUGACUCUUGCAAGUUAAGUCUUAAAGAGUUGAUAAUUGGAAAAUAUAAUUGAAAGGACGAAACAAAAAAGUUUAAUGUAUGUUAUUCACAAGAUAAAAGGAAAAAUAAUAGUGUUAUACUUAAGUGAACCUUAAAACCUUAAAAGGUCAUGUUAGCAUCGAAAUCAAUGCUUGAACGAGAUUCAUAAUUUAUAGAAGGACUUUUACCACCACCUUCACACUUCCAUCCAUAACUGACGCUCAAGCUCCCUCACUAACCCGACCAGUCAGUCCAUGGAGCUGCCACAAUUUAGAAAAAAAAAAUAUUAAAAAUAGAUCAUGAUCGGGUUGGGCACAGGUUGUUGAAUAUAUACUUUAUGUAAAUUAAUCAAUUUUGGCUGAAUAUUUUCGACUUAACCCAAAAAACCCAUUUGACGGGUGUACAUAGACCAAUGGGCACUGGAAUUUAGAGUAGCGGACAAACCAUUGCUCCCCCUAGUGGAUUUAUGCAAGGUGGUGGUCUUGCCGAGGGACAACCUGUCAAGUGCGAUGGAUGUGCCUCAUUGUCAAAGGCUCACCUUGACCCAUUGGACAAGGCAUGUAACAUGUUGGAUCAUGUAAGGACAUGUAGUGUGGGUCCGAUAAUGAGCUAAAUCCGGAAUUGGGUUUUUUUUUAAUCAUCCCACAUCAUGUGUUAUCAGGAAAUAAGAGCAAGUUGAAUAGAUGAAACAGAUCGACGCUCCUACGACUUUUCACAUGUGAGCUGUCUCGCUCACGCCACUGUCAAAAGAAGAAGCAGGAUCAUUGACUUGACCGAAACUCUCGCACUUCUUCAAUGAAAUGCAUCUGUCAACUGCACCUUGUUUACAUUUCUAACUAGCUAUAUACCUGCGGAUUUAAAUACGUACCGAGUCUUUUUACAAUUACAAAGAAUAUUUUAAAUAAAAAUAUGAUUGUCUUAAUAUAAUAGUGUGGACUUUUUUAUCAUCAUUAAUUAGUGUGAAAAUUCAAGAGAGAUAGAUUUCGGCAUAAUGUUGCCUUGAGGAAAGUUUUAUUAUAUUGAGAGCUAUAUAAAUCUUUGUAUAAAGGAACCAAUAUGUAAUACAUAGAAUAAUUAAUAAAAAGAAAUAGUAUAUUUUCAUAAUCUAGGUCUAUCAAUUCUAAUCCUCGAUUGAUUAAUUUAUCACUAUGAAGAUUCAAGAGAGACAUCUCUUGGAUGAUCUUCCUUGGAGAGGAAGUUGCAAUGAUUCUUGGGUGAUUCAUUAUUCCUCUUAGCUGACAAUGUUUCCUUUGACAGUUAGUAUCAUCCAUAAGCAUUUAAGGUGUAAAAUAUAAUUUUCAUAUUAAUAUAAUAAGUUGGUCCGACAUCGAUCUAGAAAGUAGUAUUUUUGAAAGGGAUCCUUCUUCACCAUAGCGGAGAUUUUCCUCUUUUGUUCGGUAUAAGCACUAUUUCGAACUUUAAAAUAACAAACGAUAUUAUGACCGCAUAAGGUAGGACAUUACAGAUGUAUGAAUUUCAUUUUGCAAUAUUCUACGAUUUCUUAAAUAUUGUGCGGAGAAAUGGAUUGUCUCAUCGUAACAUUGUAAAUUAUAGAAAAGAUCAUUUCAAAUACUUGACUCCCCUUGCAACUUUGACCUUUCCCUAUGUUUAUCAUUUCACACUCUCUGCAACAAAAUGCUGACAUAACAAUUUCAUCGAGCCUGGACUUUGUUAACUUUAGUUUCAAUGUGAUUGGGAAGAAGAUAUUUUCUUGAAACUCACGCUAAUUAUAAUCCAUGUACCAUAAAGUCAAAAAUUUUAUAUUCACGGAAAAGACUAAAGUCCUCGCCCUUACUAGACGGCACGGGCCAAUUAGAGAUUCAAAGGCAGAUUGUAGCCUCGUAGGAUAAGGACACAAAUGAUAAUGAACAAAAGUAGGCCAGAUGGUGUUUUCGCUUUCAUUGAUUGGUUUUAUCGUCAAUAGUUUCCUUGCAAAGUGCAACUCACAGCCUUGUAAUGUUUCUCAAAUUGAGAGGUCUAUAAAAGAUCUGUCAUCACUAUUCUUGCAUUGACGACAUCCACAUGCCUUCAUAUCAAAGAUCAUGUUGCCUGUUGAUAUAUUUUGCCAAUUGUCUCUAAACAACGUUGCACGCGUACCUUAAGAGACUCAAGUUGAGAAUGCUUUUACUAAUCCUCAUGGACCUUUUCUAUAGAGAUAAGUUACAUUUGAUUGUUUGGAUUUCUAAUUAGAAUAUGAUUGAAUAUGAUAAAAUAUGAAAUCUAAGGUUUUUGCUGACAUAACAAUUUCGUCGAGCCUGGACUUUGUUAAUUUUAGUCUCAAUGUGAUCAGGAAGAAGAUAUUUUCUCGAAACUCACGCUAAUUAUGUUCCAUGUACCGGAAAGUCAAAGAUUUUAUAUUCACGGAAAAUACUAAAGUCCUUGCCCUUACUAGACGGCACGGGCCAACUAGAGAUUCAAAGGUAGAUUGUAGCCUUGUAGGAUAAGGACCCAAAUGAUAAUGAACAAAAGUAGGCCAGAUGGUGUUUUGGCUUUCAUUGAUUGACUUUACCGUCAAUAGUUUCCUUGCAAAGUGCAACUCACAGCCUGGACUUUGUUAAUUUUAGUCUCAAUGUGAUUGGGAAGAAGAUAUUUUCUCGAAACUCACGCUAAUUAUGUUCCAUGUACGGGAAAGUCAAAGAUUUUAUAUUCACGGAAAAGACUAAAGUCCUUGUCCUUACUAGACAGCACGGGCCAACUAGAGAUUCAAAGGUAGAUUGUAGCCUUGUAGGAUAAGGACCCAAAUGAUAAUGAACUAAAGUAGGACAGAUGGUGUUUUGGCUUUCAUUGAUUGACUUUAUCCUCAAUAGUUUCCUUGCAAAGUGCAACUCACAGCCUUAUAAUGUUCUCAACUUGAGAGGUCUAUAAAAGAUCUGUCAUGACUAUUCUUGCACCGACGACAUCCACAUGCCUUCAUAUCAAAGAUCAUGUUGCCUGUUGAUAUAUUUUGCCAAUUGUCUCUAAACAACAUUGCACGCAUACCUUAAGAGACUCAAGUUGAGAAUGCUUUUACGAAUCCUCGUGGACCUUUUAUAUAGAGAUAAGUUACAUUCGGUCAUUUGGAUUUCUAAUUAGAAUAGGAUUGAAUAUGAUAAAAUAUGAAAUCUAGGGUUUUUGUUGACAUAACAAUUUCAUUGAGCCUGGACUUUGUUAAUUUUAGUCUCAAUGUGAUUGGGAAGAAGAUAUUUUCUUGAAACUCAUGCUAAUUAUGUGCCAUGUACCGGAAAGUCAAAGAUUUUAUAUUCACGGAAAAGACUAAAGUCCUCGCCCUUACUAGACGGCACGGGCCAAUUAGAGAUUCAAAGGUAGAUUGUAGCCUUGUAGGAUAAGGACACAAAUGAUAAUGAACAAAAGUAGGCUAGAUGGUGUUUUGGCUUUCAUUGAUUGACUUUAUCGUCAAUAGUUUCCUUUCAAAGUGCAACUCACAGCCUUGUAAUGUUCUCAACUUGAGAGGUCUAUAAAAGAUCCGUCAUGACUAUUCUUGCAUUGACGACAUCCACAUGUCUUCAUAUCAAAAGAUCAUGUUGCCUGUUGAUAUAUUUUGCCAAUUGUCUCUAAACAAUGUCGCACACAUACCUUAAGAGACUCAAGUUGAGAAUGCAUUUACUAAUCCUUAUGAACUUUUCCUAUAGAGAUAGUUACAUUUGGUCAUUUGGAUUUCUAAUUAGAAUAUGAUUGAAUAAGAUAAAAUAUGAAAUCUAGGGUUUUUGCUAUAUCAUAUCCACUCUGUAGAGAUUUCAGUAAUAAAAUCAAAUAUAUUAACAUCAUAUCAUACAUAUUAUUUGGUAUAAACGGUACAUCAGUAUAAAUAGAUCUAAACAUAACUGGAGAUAGUAAAAAUCUCUCACGACACUUUUGCUUACUUUAUUUUUAUUUUACUUUCCUCUCUUUUUUAGUUAAUUUUUUCCCUUCCAUCAUUCUUUAAUAAUAUUUUACUAAAUAAUAAACUGAACUAAUAUAUCUAAAAUACUAAAAUUCCUAAAAUAUUCCAAAAUGUAUCAUUUGUAGUAAAGAUAUAUAUUAUAACUGAUAAAUGAGAGUAAAGUUGAUUAUAAAUUGCGAGAAAAACCUACUUACAUGUACGGUCAAUACUGUUCUGUUUAUGAGUAUUGGAAAAUCAAAAUGAUAUACGUGUGGAAAAAGACUGAAGGCAUCACCCCCUACUGAACGGCCCGGUAAUUCAGGGAUUGUAAAAGACACAAUUGACAAUGGAAAAAAAAGUAGGCCACCGUGGUGUUUUCAGCUUUCAUUGACCGACCUUAUCACCGGCUAUCAACUUGCAUGUCACGGCCUUGUAAUUUUCUCAUUUUGAGAAAAGGAUAAAAAUUUCUGUCGUGACUAUUCUUGCAUUUGAUGAUAUCAUCAUGUCUUAGUAUGGUAGAACAUAUCGUCCGCUAGUAUAUAUUCACGAAUUGUUUCGUAACAACGUCAAGAGAGAACCAAAAAGAGUCGAGUUGAGAGCAUUUUGCUACAAAUCCUCGUGGACCUUGCCUAUAGAUAUCAGCUUUUGCCCAUGUCAUUCUCAUGCCUAACUACCAUCAUUCUUCUAUUAGGGAGUCUCCUAGCUUUAGCAAAAGAUGGCCAAGAUGAGAUUGAUCAAUUGGCUUUAUUAGAAUUCAAGGCUCGAAUAGCCGAUCCUAGUGGGGUUUUGAGCUCGUGGAAUGAUUCUAGCCACUUUUGCAAUUGGUACGGUGUCACAUGCGGUCACAAACACCGAAGAGUCACUGUACUAGACCUUGGCUCCAAGAACUUAUCCGGGGUCGUGUCGGCCCAUAUUGGUAAUUUGAGCUUUCUGAGGGGAGUCAAUCUGGAGAAUAACAGUUUUCAUGCCGAAAUUCCCCUACAUUUUGGCCGCUUGCUUCGAUUGCAGAAAUUGUUCCUUAAUAACAACUCGUUCAGUGGUCAGAUCCCUUCGAAUCUCUCCUAUUGCUCUAAUUUGCUCAUUCUUAACUUAGACUUGAACAUGCUCAAAGGAAAUUUGCCGACAGAACUAGGCUCAUUGUCCAAGCUCCGAGGACUUACACUUCAAGCCAACAGCUUGAUGGGAAACAUCCCGCCGUCUAUUGGAAACUUAUCAUCUCUUCGAAAGUUUGGAAUAACGCGGAAUAACUUCGAUGGGACGAUCCCAGAGACUCUUGGCCAGCUGAGAAAUCUAAAGAUCCUCUAUCUCGCCAGAAAUAAAUUUUUCGGUACAAUUCCUAUCUCAAUCUUCAAUAUAUCUGCUCGGGCAUGGCUUGGUGUAGGUGAAAACCAAUUAGAAGGGGGUUUACCUAGCGACUUAGGCUUCACUCUUCCAAAUAUCGAGAUUAUCAAUACGUAUCAGAACCACCUCACUGGACCCAUUCCCCAGUCAAUAUCCAACGCCUCUAACCUCAAGCUAAUCCAAAUCAAUGAGAACAAUUUUACUGGGAAAGUUCCUUCUUUUUCAAAGAUAAGAGGACUCUGGUGGUUUAGUAUUGGCCGCAACAACUUAGGAGGUGAGCAAUCUACUGAUUUGGACUUCCUCUGCUCUUUAACCAAUUCCACAAAAUUGGAACUUUUGGGCAUAGCGGAAAAUGCUUUUCAAGGACUAAUACCCGAUUGUAUCAGUAACCUCUCAAUCACCCUUUCUUGGUUUGGGUUAGCAUACAACCAUAUUUCUGGAACCUUACCUUCCGGAAUCGGAAAUCUCAUCAAUUUGGAGGAUUUGCGAAUGCAGGGCAAUAACAUCUUGGGAAACAUUCCUUUUGAGAUCGGAAAUUUGAACAAAUUGAAGCUUUUGGAUCUCGGCCAAAAUAAAUUAUUGGGGCAAAUACCGGAAUCGUUUGGGAAUUUAAGGAUGUUAAUUGAAUUGUACUUAGACAGCAAUAAUUUCCAAGGCUCGAUACCAUCGUCUCUAAAAAAUUGCCAAAAUCUACUUCUCUUGAACCUUUCGACCAACAACCUCAGCGGUUACAUGCCCAAGGAGAUUAUGGGCCUCUCAUCUUUGUCGAUUUGCCUUGACUUGUCUCGAAAUAGUCUUACUGGCUCCCUUCCAGAAGAAAUUGGAAAAUUGCAAAAUCUCGGUGAACUACGUCUUGACGGGAACAGAUUAUCUCAACAGAUUCCAAGCAGUAUAGGUAGUUGCAUAAGCAUGGAACGCCUAUAUGUACAAGAUAAUUUCUUUGAAGGGCCCCUACCAUCACUUAUGAGUUCCAUGCGAGGCCUUCAAGUUUUGAAUGUUUCCAACAACCAAUUGUCUGGCCAAAUCCCAAAAUUUCUAGAGUUGCUAAAUCUUACAAGUUUGAGCCUAUCUUACAAUGAUUUCGAGGGUGCAUUACCUACAGAAGGAGUUUUUAGAAGUGCCAUUUCAACUACAGUUGUUGGAAACAAGAAGCUUUGCGGGGGUCUCCCAGAUUUUCAACUACCGAAAUGCUACUACAAAGAGUCAAAACGGAUGAGAAUAAGCGGAACUGCAAAAAUUCUUAUAUCUACAGUCUCUGCUCUUGUUGGAGUAGCUUGCAUACUGUCUUUGUUAUACUUCUUCUGGUUUGGACACAAUAAGAACACAUCAGCUUCAAGCUCUUCUGAAGAUGGGUUUUUGCAUGUUUCUUAUCACGAUCUACUAAAAGCGACAGGUGGAUUCUCCCCCACCAAUUUGCUUGGCGUCGGAAGUUUUGGGUCCAUGUACAGAGGGUUGCUUGAUCAAACUCAGUCGGUUGUGGCCAUCAAGAUUCUCGACCUUACAUGUGGUGGAGCUUCCAAGAGCUUCAUAGCCGAGUGCGAGGUCUUGAGAAGAAUCCGACACUGUAAUCUCGUGAAGAUACUCACGGCAUGUUCUGGGUUUGAUUUUAAUGGAAAUGAUUUCAAGGCACUAGUCUACGAAUUCAUGUCAAACGGAAGCUUGGAUGAGUGGCUGCACCCAAUUGCAUCACAAUAUACGGAGAGAAACAAGUUGAGUCUACUUGAGAGAGUGAAUAUUGCAAUCGAUGUUGCUUGUGCACUAGAUUAUCUCCAUCAUCACUGUGAAAUCCCAAUAGUUCAUUGUGAUUUAAAGCCAAGUAAUGUCCUUCUUGAUGAUGAAAUGAAUGGACAUGUAGGCGAUUUUGGGAUUGCCAGGUUCCUUCCGGAAGCAAUACAUAAGUUGCUAGUAGAUCAAUCGAGCUCUGUCGGCGUAAAAGGAUCUUUUGGCUACGUAGCUCCAGGUAAUGAAGCACACCUUGGGUCAUUCAAUUUGUUUUUUUGAACACAUAAUCGUAGACAAAUCCUUAAACAAAAAGGCAUAGACAUAACACAUCACCGAAAAUAUAUUUCAAACUUAAUCAUUCACCUUGCAUCAAUACAUUGUUGAUUGUUGUAGAGUAUGGCAUGGGAAGUGCGGUAUCUAUAGAAGGAGAUGUGUAUAGCUUUGGAGUCCUCAUUUUGGAGAUGUUCACAGGCAAGAGGCCAAUUGAUGACAUGUUUGAAAAUGGGUUGGACCUUCAUCGCUUCACAAAGGCAGCUUUGGCAGACCAAGUGGAGAAGGCAAUUGAUCCCAUUUUGCUUCAGGAAAUCGAGGAGUUGAAGAAGAGACGGACAAUUGCUCCAGGCAAGAACAAGAGCUGGUGUAGUAUCAAGGAUUGUUUGGUUUUGAUCAUCGAAGUAGGAAUCACAUGCUCUUUUGAGUCUUCGAAGGAGCGAAUGGACAUCUAUGAUGCAUUGACUAAACUCCAAGGAAUGAGGAAGAAACUUCUUGCGUUCAUUGUCACUGUCUAGUUGAUGUCAAAUUUGAACUUCAUAUGGAGUCAUGUGGUCUUCAUGGUCCUUGCUUUUUGGUUUUUCUUCCUUUGUAAUUUAACCAUUCUCUAGAUGUUACGUUUUGUCUUUCAACAAUUUGGUCUUCAUGGUGGGUAUGCACUACUUGUACCUAUAAUUUUAGUAAAUGUUAAUUUUGUUGCGUCAUGCGAACCAAUAAGCUAGGCUACCGAAACCCAGUACUUCAUUCUUUCUUUGGUUCUUGUUUGUGUGUGUGGCUGCUAUUAAUGGUGCCUUUGCCUUUGCAUAAACAAAAGUGGUACACCCUUAGUUGUUCGAUUGGCUUCCACCUGAAGUAUCCUUUGGUCAAAGAAGCUCUAAAAAAAAGCUGCUCCAGUGACUCAUGAUAAUACUGUCAUUAUAAACAAAGUAUCCAGGCUUGGGAGCCCCUCUGCAAGUUUCUUCUAUUGUGAUGAGGAUUCUUUCACAGCCAUGGAAGAAACCAAUUCUUUGCUGUUAAUUAUUGUGUAGCGCAUAAUGAAAUGGGCAGGAUGGUGACUGGCUCUAAUAAUCCCGUCGUGUUGUAUGCAAGUGGUGGAAACAUAUCAGUAAUUGCCUAUAGUGAGAGAAGGCAUCGGAUUUUGGAGACAAUGUGAUAUUGCUACUGCAAACUGCUUAGACAGAUUUGCUAGAAUCUUGACACUGUCCAACAAUUCGAGCCCUGGAUACGUCAUGGAGCAGGUAUGUCACCAGAAAUGCCCGUGAAGAUCUCUACUUUGUCCAUGUGCCCUUGACUUUGUCUUAAAACUGUUAUUAUUUGCACUUCACUUUAUUUUAACUAAUUGAUUUAUUUUUUAUCUUUCUAUAAGUAAAAAGGAGGAUGUAAGGAUCUCAACAUGAAAGUUGUGGGAAACGAGCAAUUUUUUUUUCACAAAUGUGAGAGCAAGAGGACAAACGCUAUCAAGAAAACCAGCCAACACAUUUUUCAUUGAUGUGCAAAUGUCGCUCUCUAUUUUGCUGUUGCCUCUUGCUAGAGUGAUGUGAACUGAUGAUGCCAAAUGCGGAUACGGAUUAAUGUUUGUCAAUUUCAGUACUAUGAUGUUUCAAUGAUGUGCAAACGUAGCUUUCUCUUGUAUUUAUUUCCCUUGGAGAAUAAUACGAAAAUGUUGUUUCAUAGAGUGUUUCGACCAAAAUGGUAACUAGUUUUAGCUUUGAUAGUUAAGAACUCUGUGUAUGUUCAUAGCAGAUGCAGAUGUUCAUCAUCAACUCAUCAUUAAACACUUGAAUUAAUUGAAUUUUAAUAUUCUCAUUACAAAAAGAGUCAACAACAGUUACAACUUUAAUAUGUGCUCAAAGCACGCACAACACUAUAAGAAAGAGAAGAUAACGGAUGAGUUUACAAUGUAGUUAGACCUCCCACUGAUCACGUGCAACCUACAACAACCAAUCAAAGUCCUGUCACAUCUUGCUACAUUAUUUAUUAUCCAUGAAAUUAACAAACAUCUAAUAGAAUCCUCUCUUUUCUCUUCGUUGAAGGUCAACUUCAAUCAUUUUUCACAAGAGGCCUAAAAUGAUUUGCUGGAAGUGAUUAUCACCAAUGGGGAAUCAAUCCAUUGGAACCAUCUGAGGGGUUUCUGUGAGUUCUCAAAAUGGGAUGAUGUCGGAAAGAAUUUGAAGAAAUUGCAAUUUCCUUACUACAAUAUUAAGAGAAAAGAGCAUUGUCAGUACACUUAGUAUUUCCACAUCAAGCGAUAAAAAACGGCAUAUAAAGGAGAACUAUAACAGUUAUAUCUAGAAAACGCGGCAAUAUUCAAUGAGCUAAAACCAACAUAGCAAAGAAGCUCAACCAGACUGCAAACCUAGAAAAUCUGAAAGGCCGUGAAUUGGAAAUGAGAGACUUGCUCCAAGGAUUGGAAGAACAUAGAAAAUUGCAAUGCUUAACUGAGCAGAACAUGCUUCUGUAAUUUGAUUCUGUUCGAACUAGUCAAAACACAUUUAUAACUUUCACAAUGCAAUGUUAGGAAGGUAAAGAACCCAUGCAUGCACACGAGCUAUAUGCUCGAUGCAUUGGAAACAUUUGGUGGACCGGUGAACCUGCUUGUUUGUCAUGAUUCUGAUCCAGCAGUUGAACACGCAUCAAUGUAUAUAUCUUAGGUGACAGGGUCGAGGUACAUUGGAGAACGAGCAAAAGGUACCAUAACUUCGUAUAAAACUUGCCUGUUUGUCCAGCAAAGUGUUGGAAGAUAUGCAGAAUCACGGAUUGCACAAUCAAGGAUCCGGAUUGAUUAUUGAUUUGAUUUGAAGAUUAGAAUUAUGUACAUAAUCAAUUAAGAUUAGAUCUAGCUAUAGAUUGAUUUGUAGAAUCAUUUAUUCCCUUUAUUUUUCAUACAGCUUGUAUUAUAUUUACAACAAGAAUUGUACAGAUUCAUCAUUGAAGUAAAUAGAAAGAAAACUGUUCCUUCUUCUUUCAUGGUAUCAGAGCAGCCGAUUCUCUGAACCUAGCUUCCGCUUCCGCUCAGAAUUUUCUCUCCUUGCUGUGACUUUCUGAUCCUGAAGUUCUGACCUGCAAAAAAGGGUUUCUUUUUCAGGCAUAUUGUCACGCUCAGAAAAUUUUACUCACCAUGGCGAAUUUGCAAGAUGAAGUAUCCACCACCAGGAACCAAUCUGCUGGUUAAGUUAUUCCAGCCGCUGGAAGCACUGCUCAGACAUCGAUUUCACCUGUUACAACUCAAACAACAACGCAAAUGUUGUUUCCAACUCAGCCCGUGCAAUGGCGGCCCACCCCGGCUCAGUUCACUAUGGGGCAGCCCAUGACGGGCCAGCCUUUCCAAUGGAUUCCAUAUCCAAUCUAUGUUGGGUCAAACCCAAACUCUUCAUUGCUUGGGUAUGUGGGCCACCAAAGCCACGUCCAAACCGACGGGGGUCCGCCAGCCACAGAAGGGGCAAACCCGACCGACGGAGUGGAGCGGAUACACAGGUCGAGUGAACCGGGUACGGGUAUGAAUCCCUACCCGGGAUUUUUGAAUGCGGAUUUUUCAUUCGGGUCGAAUGAAUCGGGCCAAGGGACGAAUCCCUACCCGAAUCAUACGCCCGGGUUUCUGCCCUUUCCAGCGGCGGCCUUCGCCAGACGGCCAGAACUCAGCGACCCCUUGUUCGUUUCCACAGCCGACGGACCAGAGCUGCGACUAAUCAGUCAACAACUGACCGGGCCAGAGACUUACCCCAAGUGGUCGCAAGAGUUCCGACGUGCCCUAGCGACAAAGGACAAGGAUGGAUUUCUCGAUGGAACCAUCCCAAUCCCUACCGACGAGCGUCUAGCACGGCUCUGGAGGAAGAGCAACCGCCUGGUCCGAACUUGGAUCGGCAAUUGUCUCUCCACAGAGGUCUCGGCUGGACUCCCACCGACUGAAGACGCCAAAGGGAUGUGGGAUAAUAUCAAGGAGAUGUACGGGAGGUUGGAUCAAGCAAAAAUAUUCACCCUCAUGCAAGAACUCAGUGAUUUAAAACAAGGGAAUUCGACGGUCACAGCUUGCUUCAACAAAUUAUCAUCGUUAUGGAACAGCCUCGAAGCAGCAGAAGAAAAACUCGAGGGUCCCGAAUCCACACUCCGACAGUACAAAUCCAUCAAAGACAGGGAGAAAGCGACGCGUUUUUUGCUCAUUUUAAACGACAACUUUCUUACCUUUCGCUCGUAGAUCUUGGCUAUGGAUCCCAUGCCAUCAAUCGGGCGAAUUUAUCAACUAGCGGUGCAAGAGGAAAGCCAGCAAUUCGCAUCACCAAAGAACGCGAAGAGUGGCGAGAGUAUCGCUCUUGCAGUCCACAAGGAGCGAAAAGAUGGAACCCAGAAAACCCUAGCAGAGAAGAGACGUGGCGUGCUAGGGUUUCGCGGAGAAGGGUUGCGGGCCUAUAAAUCAGAAGGGAUGAACGGCUCUGAUCGAGCGCGUAUAUCCGACGGCUCACAGGAGACCGAUCAUUUAAAAGGAUCGGACGGCCCAGAUGAACUCGCGACAAAAGGAACCGACGGACAGAUUUUUGCCACAUCAUCCAGGAAUUUCGGGCAAAAUUUUAAAGGGAAAGGUAGAUUAUUUUGUGACUAUUGCAAGCGUUCUAAUCACUCAAUUGACAGUUGUUGGAAGCUGCACGGGAAACCAGCGGAAAAAGGAAAAAGAAUUUCAGCGGCAUACCAAUUGAGUGGAUCUCCCGGCCCAAAUUCUGAUCAUACCAUUACCUAUGGACAGUACCAGCAACUGAUGCAAGCUUUGCAGAAAUUGGAUGUUUCUGACAAAGGAGGCAGUUUUUCAAGUAUCACGCAUGGCUUGAUUAAUUCUAUAUCAAGAAAAGCAUGGAUUAUUGACUCAGGGGCAACUGAUCAUAUUAUAUGUGACAAGAGUCUUUUCUCAAGAAUAGAUGAGGAAUUGAAUUUUCCCAUUUCCGUACAAUUGCCUAAUGGGAAUAUUAGUCAUAUUCGUGUGACAAGAACGGUUAAUCUCAGUCCUCAAAUUAUUCUUAAAAAUGUCCUUUAUGUCCCAGAAUUCCAGUUCAAUCUCAUUUCCGUAUCAAAAGUCUGCCAAGAGAAUUCAUGUCGAGUGAUAUUCAAUGCUGAUACCUGUUUAUUUCAGGCCCUUUCAACUGGCAGACUGAUGGGCUGGGGUAAUAUUUCAGAAGGACUAUUUUUUUGGUCAAGACUCCCAAGUAAUUUUGAUUUAUCCAGCUUUCCAUUAAAUAAAUCCUCCUUGUGUAAUUUGAGCUUGAAUGAUAAAAGUUCUCUUAUGCAUAUGAGAUUAGGCCACAGUGCCACCUUUCCUUAUCCUAAAUGUCCUAUUUGUCCACUAGCAAAACAGUCUCGUUCCCCUUUUCCAUCUAGUAAUUCUCGUGCUAGACAAAUCUUUUCACUGAUACAUGUUGAUAUAUGGGGACCUUAUCAUAAGGUUAAUUAUGAUGGAUCACGUUAUUUCCUCACAAUAGUAGACGAUCAUUCUCGUGCGACAUGGAUUUUCUUGAUGCAAUCAAAGGCUCAGACUUACUCUUAUUUAAAGACAUUUAUUGCCUUAUCCAAAAAUCAGUUUGGAAAAUCAAUCCAGAGAAUUCGAACUGAUAAUGGAGCGGAAUUUUUCAGUCACAAUUGUUCCAUGCUUUUCUCAUCUCAUGGCAUCCAGCAUGAGAGUUCAUGCACUUAUACACCACAACAAAAUGGAGUGGUUGAGCGCAAGCAUCGGCACCUUUUGGAAGUCGCACGUGCCUUGAAGUUUCAAGCUUCAGUACCAGAUGAUUAUUGGGGAAAUUGUGUCAUCACAGCAGCUUAUUUGAUCAAUCAUAUGCCCACCAAGAUACUGGACAAACACCAUUCGAGCUACUCUAUGGAAGAAAACCAGAUUUACAACAUCUCAAAAUCUUCGGAUGUCUUUGCUAUGCUACAACAUUGGGCUCUCGAGACAAGUUGAGCCCACGUGCUCGGAAAUGCAUUUUCAUGGGAUAUCCUAAUCUGCAGAAGGGGUAUCGAGUUCUUGAUAUAUCAACAAAGGAGUUUCUUAUAAGCCGUGAUGUAUCUUUCCAUGAAGAUAUAUUCCCCUUUUCCAACAUGGGGGAACCAAAUGAGAAUCUCGACAUCAAUUCUAAUUCUCAUCGUCUCUCACAUGACGACGCAAUAUCUCCAGACCAUGGUUACAUACCACUGGUUCAAUCAAGGAAUCCAUCUUACACUCCUACAAUAAUUCCAGGAGAGAUACCAUCUAUACUGGAGAAUCCAUCAUCAUCAGCAAACCUGACAGAAGAGGAAGUUGAAGAUGCAAGCAAUAUUGCGGAAGAAGUUGGCCAUGAUAUCUCGCCACCCACCUCCAAUGAAACAAUUCCCACUUCUGAUGGAGAUCAUCCAAGACGCUCUCGUCGGGCCACUCGACCUCCGACGUGGACCAAGGACUAUAUCUGUGCCACUCACAACUCUCCAGGUAUUCAAUAUCCUGUCUCCUCCUAUGUUUCCUUUCAUAGAUUAUCAGAGGAACAUAGAUGCUGCAUUAGUCGCCUAUCAGAAGAACAGGAACCAUCUAGUUAUGAUAAGGUAGCUGUUGAUCCUAGAUGGUAGCAAGCCAUGGCAGCAGAGUUAAAGGCAUUGAAUGACAACCACACAUGGGAUCUUGUCUCAUUGCCACCUAAUCGGAAACCAAUUGGGUGCAAAUGGGUAUACAAGAUUAAAUAUCGUGCAGAUGGAUCAAUUGAACGGUACAAGGCACGCUUGGUAGCAAAGGGAUUUACUCAGCGAGAAGGUUUUGACUACCACGAGACCUUUUCCCCAGUUGCCAAAGAUGUCACAGUUCGCUCUUUUUUUACCAUCGCCGCCAUCAAUGAUUGGAGUCUGCAUCAAAUGGACGUGCAUAAUGCCUUUCUCCAUGGUGAUUUAGAUGAAGAGAUAUAUAUGGAUGUUCCUCUGGGUUUACGGAGACAGGGGGAGAAUAGAGUGUGUCGUCUCCGCAAAUCCCUUUAUGGGUUGAAGCAAGCAUCCAGACAAUGGUAUGCAAAAUUUGCAAAUGCUCUUACGAAAGCUGGGUUCCAACAAUCAAAGCAUGACUAUGCAUUGUUCACAAGGAACAGAGGUAUGUCAUCUAUCUUUUUGAUGAUAUAUGUCGAUGAUAUUCUUCUUAUGGGAAAUGAUAAGGCUGCCAUAGAAAGAUUCAAGGAAUAUUUGCAUGCUACCUUUCAUAUGAAGGACUUAGGAGCACCUAAAUAUUUCCUUGGAAUCGAAAUUGCUCGAUCCGAUUUAGGAAUCUCCCUCAGUCAACGAAAGUUCAUAUUGGAGAUUAUAUCAGAAGCAGGGCUAUCAGGAUGUAAACCAGCAGCAAUUCCCAUCGAGCAGAACACUAAAUUGACUUCUGCAGCUUACGAUGAAGGUAUAUCCAAAGAUGACGAUCCCAUACUCAAAGAUCCAUCUGGAUAUCAAAGGCUUGUUGGGAAACUUAUAUAUCUGACAAUGACGAGGCCGGACAUCUCUUAUGCAGUACAAACAUUGAGCCAGUUCAUGCAUAGCCCAAAACAGUCUCAUUUCGAUGCAGCUUUGAAGAUUGUAAAAUAUUUAAAGAAAUGUCCAGGACUUGGGAUACUUCUGUCAAAGAAAUGUGACAUGAAGAUGACGGCAUUUUGUGAUGCAGACUAUGCAACAUGUCCUAUAAGUCGAAGAUCAGUCACAGGAUAUUGCAUUAAAUUUGGGGAAUCACUUCUUUCAUGGAAGACCAAGAAGCAACCCACUGUGUCUUUAUCCUCAGCUGAGGCAGAGUAUCGAGCUAUGGCUAAGACCACAUGUCAAAUAGUGUGGAUGUGAGGUUUACUUAAGGAUCUUGGGAUAGAAGUGCAAGGACCAACCAGGCUUUAUUGUGAUAACGAUGCAGCCCUAAAACUUGCAGCAAAUCCUAUAGUACAUGAGAGAACCAAGCACAUUGAAGUCGACUGUCACUUCACUCGAGAAAAGAUACAAGAAGGCGUGAUUGAGACAAGAGGAAUUGGAACAAUGGAGCAGCCAGCAGAUAUAUUUACCAAGCCUCUAUGUCAAAGACAGCACGCAUAUCUGUUGAGCAAGCUAGGUGUCUUAGACAUAUACAGAUCACCAGCUUGAGGGGGAGUGUUGGAAGAUAUGCAGAAUCACGGAUUGCACAAUCAAGGAUCCGGAUUGAUUAUUGAUUUGAUUUGAAGAUUAGAAUUAUGUACAUAAUCAAUUAAGAUUAGAUCUAGCUAUAGAUUGAUUUGUAGAAUCAUUUAUUCCCUUUAUUUUUCAUACAGCUUGUAUUAUAUUUACAACAAGAAUUGUACAGAUUCAUCAUUGAAGUGAAUAGAAAGAAAACUGUUCCUUCUUCUUUCACAAAGGCCCAUUUAUGUUCGCUACUCUAUGACGCUGCAUGUUCAAAGCAAGCGCAAGCAUCAGAACGCUGAACAAACGCUCUGUUUGUCCAGCAAAGGCCGAGUAGAAACUUCUACACCAAACCACUCACUUCCUUGCACUAUCUCAUUCCAAAACACAUCACCAAAACUCCCAUGGGCAUAUCAUUUCACCAAUUUCCCAGCAAAGCAGCCGACGCGUAAACCCUAGAAAACUCAAUCGCAACAGGAAACACCAUUUCCGUGACACUGCAUGAUCAAAGCGACCGCGUGACCGAGCAUCAGAGUGCUGGACAACGCUCUGUUUGUCUAGCAAAGGCCGAGUAGAAACUUCUACUCCAAACCACAUAUCGUCUCCCUGAGUUACUGGCAAAGCAACCGACGCGUGAAUCCUUGAGACCUCAAUCGCAACCAGAAAGGCCAUUUUCCGUUCGCUAAAUCCGUGACGCUGCAUGUUCAAAGCAAGCGCGCGAUCAAGCAUCAAGAUGCCGAACAAACACUCUGUUUGUCUACUACACCGAACCGAUUGCUUCGUUGCACGAUCUCAUUAAAAAAAAAAAAAAGGAAGAAGAAGAACGUAAUCGUCUCUCGAAACGAUGAACUCGCGAGGAAGAUGACGACGGAGUCGACCCGUCGAAGAGAUGAUAAAAGGAAAGGAAAAGGCGCGAGAGCGACGUGAGAGCUGACCUUCGACGGCUCCUUCACGUAGAGAUAGGCGGCGAAGGAAGCCAGCAGGAUCAGCACCGGCAGGAUCCGCCAUUGCAGAUGCUUCAUUCCUCCCUCCCUCUCUCUCUAGAAUCUCGAUGACGCAGAAAGGAGAGAGAGCGCUUCGCAGAAAUUUGCGCUCCCUCACGAGUCGCGAAGCGCCUUCAGAGUCAGCUCCCUCUUGUCGUUUUUUCUUCCCUCUCUCCUUAAUAUUUUGAUUUUUCGGUGUAAAGAUUAUUUACUUACCGACCAAUGGAACUCUGACACGUGUAGGAUUCCUCGAAGCAAUUUAAUAAAAGUUUUUUUAAUUGAUAAGGGGGAAAGAAUAUUUGUUUUUCUUGGCACGACCAAACACUUCGAUUUUUCCAGCGAUGUCUUUAGUGGAGCGUGCGUGCAUGCGUGUAAGCCCACUUGUCUCCCAUUGGCGAAAUUUUUGUUAUGUACACGAUAUCAUUUUAUAUUAUAACUAAUGCGAUGUUAUGUAUUUUUCUAUGUUCAAUUCCAUUUUAAUCUGGAAAAUGUCAAGUGUUAAUCGACAUUAAAUUAUUAACCAAGGCUUUUUUGUGGAGUAGUUUAUGACAUAGGUGGAAAACGAGUAUUAUAAAUGUAGGUAGAUAUCGAUGGCUGGGCAUGACGAACGAAUGAAUAAAAUCUAAUUUUGGCUAGAGAAAGUUCGAGAUGCUCUAAUGGCUUUGGUUUUCAAUAUAUAAUACAAAUAGAAAUAUAAUUUAAUAGGUCGAAAUUCAUAAUUGAUUCCUCAAAUCUAUGCACCAAAACGAACCCUUGCUAAGUUCUAUAAUAGCUAGAUUGGUCUAACAACAAAAAGUAGUUUUUAUAUUUUGUUUUCAGAUUAAUGUCUCGAGUGAUGAUAAUAUGACAAUUUAAAUUUGGAGACAAUAUUAAGUAUUUUAAUAUAAUUCAUAGACUAAAUUGAACAUAUAUUAAAAAUCUAGGGACCUCGUUGUACAUUAAAUUAGAAUUUAGGGACCAUAUGAAAUAAAUUUAAAGUUAAUGGAUGAAUUAUGCAAUUUUAUCUAACAAAGGUAGUUUUGAAGAGGGGAGUACAGGGAUUUUAACCGCAGCGGUUUUCUUCAUCCGUGAAAACCGUCUGGAGCGUCGGUUAUCGUAGAUAUUGCCUUCCAUCACGGCGUCUCAAGUUAACCGCAGCGGUUUUCUUCUUCGGAGGCGCCGUUUUUUAGAGAGAGAAACGGAUACCAUACGCAGAGUCAAAAAUCAAUCCGUUUCUCCCCUGGCCGAGAAGUCUGAUUGAUCCCGGUCUCCAUUGAAGCUUCGCCACCCGGCCCAUAACUUCGUCGGCGACGAGUUUCCGUGGCUGUCUCGGGUUUCGCUUGAUCAUCAAUCGUGAUUAGAACUCCGUUUCAUUGAGGCGUUUCUUGGUCAUCGGCAGUGCUGGUCUGUCUGUGAGAAGUGGCUCGGAGUUUGUGUAACGCUUCGACAAUGAUGACCGGGGAGGUGAGCUUUUCUCAAUCUUUUUCUCCUUUUAUAUUUUCAUCGUGCUGUUCAUGUGUUGAAUUAUUAUCUGUGAUGCUGUGUGUUCCAAGAUCAAACGAUCGGUGGCGGUCGAUGGCGGUGUUGUAGUAAUGGAUGGUGUUCGGAGGCGACGUCCAUGGCAGCAAUGGCCAGAAGUAGUGAAUAGCGGUGCAUUCCAAGCUCUGUUGCUCCUCUCGUCACAUUCAGCGGACGCCGCAGCGGCGGAAUCCACGGCGUGUUUUUUUCUUUUUUCUGGUAAGAUUUGAAUUGUGUGUUUUAAAUGAUCUCUUAUGUGGGGUCAAAGAAUGGCAGGAGAAAUGGCUUUCCUCAUUUUUUUGGUAAGAUUUGAACUGUGUUUUUUUUCUUUUUUCUGCUCUAACAUGGAACAACCACGAGUACCUGCCGCCAGUCAUCUGCUUGUUGCGGUAGAAUGAGGUUUGGCUAUCAUUUGGGAAUAUCAGUGCUGCGUAAAACGUGCCCUUUAUCACAGAUUUUCUGUGUCAAUUACUCCAUCUACUAGUUUAAAGUAUGAACUUCUAUAUCUCUUUGGCUUGUCACAGGUACAUAUCAACAGUUGGGUUUUACUCGCUUAAGAUGCACUUCCUUGUUAGAAGGAAAAAAUGACCAAAGGUUACGUAACAAGGAAGCUGUUGGGCAUGACUAUAAAAGGUUUUCUUUUAAAAAUUGAAAUGGCCACUUUAGUAAUCUUUAUUUAGUAUGGAGAAUCUCAGUCACGAUUAUAAUCAAAUAGUUAGAGUUGUCGCCAAUAAAGAAAUGUUGCCAGCCUUGAGUUGCUACAUCAGUCCAACAUGGUGCUUGCAAUAACUAUACCUUUUUUGUGUCAUCAUCAUUGGUCAGCCUUGUCAUUGGUCAGCCUUGCCUUCAUGAAUCUUUGUUGCUCAUUGAGAUUAGUCCGGAAAUUGUUACUUCAACCGAGCUCAACAAGGAGUUGGAAUCUCUAUUGCCCAUUGAGAUUUGGUGUACUUAUUUUAGCGUGGAAAUUUGGCAGUCACAAUGCAUGACAAGAGAGGACAAUCAAAUAAAACUUCAUAGUUCUGACUAAACUUAUGCAUUAUAUUGAUUUAUCAAUUUCAAACCUUGAGAACCUAGCUAGGGAAAAAGGGGCAAAUUAUGAAGGGUAAAAUAUGUUGCUUUUCCUAGCCUUUCUUGUGGAAAAACCAUAUUCGUGGCAAUGGAGACUGAAUUGUGAUCUCUGAUUUGACUGAACAAUAUAAUUUGAUAGCUAGUUUUAGACUCUAAAAGUCCUCAUUACUUAUUCUUGCUGAACGCUUGGAUGUAGGUUGCUGGUUGGAUUUGAAUGAAAAAUCUCUUGUUGUAGUUUUAGAGGCUAGUCGUAUUGCUUUUUAAAUGGAUCAGAGUCAAUACUCCAUGUUCAUUGGCAGAACUCACCAAGUUUUGGAUUGGUGCUCCUAUCUACAAAAUGGUUUUGUGUCAUCUAUUAAAAAAUUGUAGACUCUUUCAAUAGAACAGUUGAUAGAACAAAUCUAGUAAGGAAAAUGUAGGGGAAGUUGUGUUUCCCAUUAUGAGCUAGUGUCUAGUUUAGUGAGUGUGGGCAAUAACUGCUCUAGCAUUGUAUUUAGUUUGUAUGCUUCGGAUCAAUUAACUUUAGAAACCUAAGGUUCUCAUUUUUUGGAACAUGAGAUGCAUCUGUGCUGAAAUUUCAUUUGGUAUAUUUACGUGGCCAUGUUCAUCUCCUCGUUCCCGUCCCAUGGCUCUACUCAAACUGAGAGGCUUACAGGGAGAGUUUAGAUAGAGAAGGCGAGUGUUGAUGGAGUCAACCAUAUCAAAGACUCUCUAUCCUCAUCUUCGUCCUCCCUCAACCCCUUCGUCUUCCGCCUCUACCGCUACAUCACCCGAUCGCUGCAUCGCUGAUGCGAGUGGGUGUCUGGCACCUAUGAUUGCAUCACCUUCGGCAUAACCCCUAGAGGAUUGAGUGAAGCUUGAUAUGAGUUUGUGCCAGCAAAGUGACUAUAANNNNNNNNNNNNNNNNNNNNNNNNNNNNNNNNNNNNNNNNNNNNNNNNNNNNNNNNNNNNNNNNNNNNNNNNNNNNNNNNNNNNNNNNNNNNNNNNNNNNCAGCGAGCGUGAAAGAGAAUUUGAGAAAAUCAAUUGAGUUUGCCAUUGCUUUUGUUUUGCUAUUAUACUCUCUAAGGUACCUGGGAUCAUCCAUUUUUCAUAAUAAAAAAAAUGGUCAUCAACUUAAAUUAAACUUAGUGUGACGGAACAGUCAUCCCCCGUGUUACGCAUUUUGUCCUCUCGUAAAUGUGAAGAGAAAUAAGGUUCUAAAUGAUCUCUUAUGUUGGGUGAAAGAAUGGCAGGAGAAAUGACUUUCCUCUUCUUCUUUUUUUCCCGGUAAGAUUUGAACCCUGCGUGUUUUUUUCUACUUUCUGCUCUAACAUUGAACAGUCACAAAUACCUGCCGCCAGUGUCAAUCUUACAGCCGAGACAGCAGUUAUAUGGCCUCUAUUUGAAGCCGAGGCUGUACAUAAUUAGCAAAAAGAGUUGGGAGAAACAGUUGCAAAACACUUGACAAAUUGUGGCUUUAUAUCUAACCCUCGAGGUAAGCAAUUUUUAUUCACUAUAUGCUUGUUGCAGGAGAAUGAGGUUUGGCUGUCAUUUGGGAAUAUCAUUGCUGCAUAUAACGUUCUUUUUAUCACAGAUUUUCUAUGUCGAUUACUCCAUCUAUUAGGUUGAAGAAUGAGCUUUUAUAUCUCUUUGGCCUAUCACAGAUACAUAUCAAGAGUUGGGUUUUACUCGCUUAAGAUGCACUUCCUUGUUAGAAGAAAAAAAAGGCCAAAGGUUAUGUAACAAGGAAAUCUGUUGGGCACGACUACAAAAGGUUUUCGUUUGAAAUAUUGAACUGGCAGGAAUCUUUCUUGAGUAUGGAGAAUCUCAGUCACGUUUGUAAUCAAACAGUUAGAGUUGUCGCCAGUAUAGAAAUGUUGCCAGCCCUUGAGUUGCUACAUUAGUCCAACAUGGUGGUUGCAAUAACUAUACUCUUUUUUUUUUUUUAUGUCAUUGUCAUUGGUCACCCUUGACUUCAUGAAUCUUUGCUGCUCAUUGAGAGUAGUCCAGAAAUUCUUACCUCAACCGAUCUCAGCAUGGAGUUGAAAUCUCUGUUGCUCAUUGAGAUUUUGGGGUUUAACAAGCCACACAAUGUGGAAAUACCGUACUUAUUUUAGUGUUGAAAUUUGGCAGUCAUAAUGCAUGACAGGAGAGGACAACCAAAUAAAACUUCAUAGUUCUGACUAAACUUAUGCGGCAUAUUGACUUGUGGUUUGAAACCCUGAGAACCUAGCUAGGGAAAAAGGGGCAAACUAUGAAGGAUAAAACAUGUUGCUUUUGGUAGCUUUUCUUGUGGAAAAACCAUAUUUGUGGCAAUGGAGACUGAAUUGUGGUUCCUGAUUUGACUGAAACAAUUUAAUUUGAUAAGUAGUUUUAGACUCUAAGAAUCCUCAUUUCUUAUUCUUUCCAAAUGCUUAGGUUCAGAUUGAUGGUUGGAUUCGAAUGAAAAAUCUCUUAUUGUACUUUUAGGGGCUAGUCAUAUUGCUUUUAGAAUGGAUCAGAGUCGAUAUUGGCUGAACUUGCCAAGUUUGGAAUGUUGCUCUUAUCUACAAAAUGCUUUUGUGUCAUCAAUUAAAAAAUUGUAGACUCUUUUAAUAGAACAGUUGAUAGAACACAUCUAGUGAAAAAAAGGGUCAAUUAACUCUAGAAACCUAAGGUUCUCAUUUUUUUGGAACAUGAGAUGCAUCUUUGCGAAAUUUGAUUUGGUAUAGUUUUUAUCCUUGAUAUGAGUAUGUGGUGAUGAAAUAAGCAUAUUUAAUAUUACAUAGCGUAAUUGCAAAAACUAUCCUCAAUUUUGCUUUUCAUAUCAAAUACCCUCCUCACAUUUCAAAAUCUAUAUAGUGCAUCUCCCAACCUAAAUUAACUAUUUGCCCUUAUGCGCGCAUGAGAUCUACACCUAGAAAGUGGAAUGCAACAUUGAGGAUGGGGUAAUUUGAGAAAUAUGUGUGGGUGCGAGAUGCAACCUGAAAUCCACAACCAAAAAAAUAAAAUAAAAUGGAGAGUGAUGAUUGGAUGUCUGAAAUAUGAGAAUAGCGCGUUUGAUAUGAGUAGCAAAGUCUAGGAUGAUAUCUGUAAUUUUCCAUGUCAUAUAAUACAAACUAACUCCAGGAUGAAUAUUUCUAAAGCAGGUGGUGGUUGAAAAGUUCUCUGCCUCGAGGUUCAGGUAGUGACCAACAUGGUGAUUGCAGUCGUGACUGUGGUCGUGAUCGUGGCCCUAAUCAGGCCUGUGGUGGUGGAUGUGGAGGUGGAGAUGGAGAGUGCUUGCGGAAAGCCUGGGCAUUCUACAAGCGAGUGUCCUAGUGAAAGGGCAGAGGAGGUAGUUAUGCGGGGAGCAAUGACAGGUAUGGAGGUGGAGGUGGUGGACACUAUGGUCCUCAUCGAAAUGGUGGUUGACCUGGCGGGUGCAAUAGAGAUAGUGGUACUCAAGGAGGAUCAUGAAAUGACUGCUAUAAUUAGGACCGUUCUGGUCCCUAUGGAUGUCGUCGUACAGGAAACUUCUGUUCAGGGUAGAAAGAAUUCUCCUGAUAGGUAUGCACAGAGGUUUUUCCUAUUAUAGUGAAGUAGUUGAUCCUGUGCUGAUUGAAAAGUGCUUGCAACAGAGCAAUUGAAGAUACUGCUGUUACUUGCUGGAGGUGUCAAAGUCUCUUCUGUUUCAUCUCUUCUUCAUGGUUCUCCAGGUGGACAAAUCUGCUUGAUCCAACUGUUGAUGUGCGAUCUUUGGCUAAAAGAUUCAACUGUUUAAUGUCUGUGAAUGCUCGUUUUGAUGUUUUGGAUCCAAUGACAUUGCUUGCUUUACUUAAACAAUCAAAUUUGGCCUUACUAUUUCAAUGCUAUGAUGAAUACUGGAUUCUCUUUUGCUCACAUGCUUUAGCAAUUGCAAAUGCAUCUGAGAUCGAUCUUGGUUGACUUCAUCAUUGGCGUUUGUGACUAUGGAGUGUGGACAGCUUUUUGGUGUCUAGAUGGCUCUUUUGAGGAUUGGACGAGAUUCACCUAAGGAAGUAAUGCGUUUUCUCUUCACAAAAGAGAAGUUGCCUUAGAAAUGAAUGCCUGUUUUGGCUACGAUUUUUCAAAUGUUUAACUUUUUGAAAAGGAGUUAAGCGGGUAAACUCUAUGUUUUCUUCGACACAUUUAGUAUGUGAGCUUUCUGUCUAUAGUUUGCACUAUAUUAACUCUGCUAAACUUUUGGCAGGAUUCUAUGCUGUUUGUGGUGUUUUGAUGCGCAGUUCCGUUACUCUUAUAUCAUGAUACGUGGGUUUAGUCUUAAAAACUCUGGAAAGUCCUUUUGGUCUCAAGAAGCUGUUCUGUGCAAUUAACUCGGUAAAUUUCGUCUCACCUUCCACACAUUGUACUGAUGGAGGAGUUCCUUUCUCAGUAAAAUGUGGAGAUCUUUUGGAAGCUUUAGUGAGCAUGGCAAUUUGAUUUUCACGAUCUUCUUCCUAGCUAUCUGCUGUCUCUUAUUGCCAUCUUCAGUGGAGGAUUGCUGGUCUCUGUCUCACCCGUGUACAUGAUGCUGCUAUUGUCUUAGGUUUCCUGGAUAAAUUUCCCUUUCAGGUGUAAUGCGGCUCUUCCUAUGAAUCAGCUAUGUUGCUAAUAAACACACGGUUCUUUUCACUUCUGCAUUAAUGAUCUUUGCCAUGCUCUUGCAGCCAGUCAUUUGCAAUUGAUAAUGUGUCUUCCCUGAAUUCUUUCAGAAGUUGUGCUAGCUCCAUUUGAAAUUGAUAUUGGCUUUGUGACUCCUAGAUGUGGUAUAUUCUCGCCACAAGCAAAAAAAGCGGAUAUGAUCAUUUCCUUUUCAGCUCUCUCUGUGUAAUUACUUGGUUAAGGUUAUUGGGCAUUCUUAACUAUGGCUUUGUAAGUGAAUAUUUUCUUUUCCCGUUAUGCUUGUCAACAAAUUUGGAGGUUAAGGUUAUUGGGCAUUCUUAACUAUGGCUUUGUAAGUGAAUAUUUUCUUUUCCCAUUAUGCUUGUCAACAAAUUUGGAGAUCAAAUUGGCAAUACGUGCUCAGCAGGAAAGAGUUAUCUAUUCUUGUUUAAAAUUGAAAGGAAUUUUACCGAAGUACUGGUUAAUUCUCAAGUAGAGCUUAAUAGUACAUUGUAUCAAUUUUCUGUUAAUCUUUGCGACUUCCUUUAUAUACUUAUUUCUUUAAUGUCAGAGCUAGUCACAUACUUAAGUUAAUCCCUAUCUUAAAUAGAUUUUUCAUAAUUCCAAAAUCAUUUCAGAAUCCAAAAGAAAAGAAAGGAAGCUGAAACAGGAAACCAAAAGGACCACAAUCAAACAAUUCAAUGAUCUUAAUCAUCAAUAUACAAAGUACACUGGGAGGAGGCCGGGGGUUUGCAUCCAGAGCAUUGAAUUGGACGGUGAAGCUCUUGAAGGUUUGAGAAAAGACCACGCUGUGUGGAUGGCUGAAAUGCUUGUGUGACUUCAUCUCUGUAUUAGGCUGCGCGCGUGCUUAUGUGUGUGAAAGAGCGAAGGGAGGGAGGAAGGUUGGCUUUUGUCUUAACUAGGAACUGCUCGUGUAUGUAGGAAACAGCGAAGGUUCAAGAAUCAAUGUUUAAAAUAUGCGAUUGGCAUAAUAUAUUGUAUUAACUCUAUAUAACAACUUUUUUUAAGAAAUGUAAUCAUUUUUCUUCUUUUGCGCUUUAAGGGGAAGUACAUUGAACAUGGCUAUAUGCGAAAGAAGAAAGACUGAUGCAACCCAUUGAAUACAGCUUCCUACAUAAAUGAAGUCAUCUUGGAAAUCAUGCGGAUCUCCCCGUCUCUCUCUCUUCUUUCGAGUUCAUGCUUGUGGAUGUUAUUGGCAAAGUAGUGUGAUCUCAAUCUAGCCCCGUGAUUCAAACUUGUUUCACGAUAUGUCCUUAUUUGAAGGGUAAGUUCACUUUGUGACAUCCUGGAUUUUACAGUUCUGCUUUCAAUUAAAUCAAUUGGAUUUUUCAUCGAUGCGCCUAUAGUGUUAUUCUCAGAGUUGAUCACUCGUAAGAUAACUAGACUAUCUAGGGAAGUCAUUAAGGGAUUUUAAUGUAUUAGACUUAAGGAUUCAACCAGGACUUGACUACUCGAUCAUGCUCAUCUGCAAAGAUCAUUACGGCAUAGUUAAAAAUUGCUUAGAGAACAGAGAUAGGUCGGUCCAACUGAGAUGUGUGACUAAACAUGGGUAAUUCUACUAAAUUGCAAAAUUCUCGUCGAUCGGCACUAGACUGAUUUUUUUGUCUUUUUGGUACCAUGUGUCUGUAUUUGAAUCAUCGAGAUUUUCAUAAGAAUCGAGAGUCACCACUGUGUCGAAUAGGUUCAUUGUGGCUCGAAGAAAAUCGACCAUAGGUUAUUUGCACUAAAAAUUUCUGAAAGCUACUCGGUAGCCUAGGUCACGCUAAAAACACGCCAAAGUGAAAUUAACCAUGAAUUUGAAUCCAAUUUCAGAAAUUGAAAAUUCUGUCAUGUCACAAGUCAUUUUAGGAACGUCGACUCAGUCUCCGAAGAUUUUUUUGCAAACCGAGACUUUUUGGGAAAAAGUCGUCGUAGGGCCAUUUUUAUUUAGAAAAGUCCGAGGGCCGUUUUUGAUUGGGAAAUUGGGAUGCAAGAUGGUUCAAUUGGUGAGGAAAAAUAUCAAUUUGAUUAUUGACCCGAUAACGAAAUUUUUAGAGGCCGAAUUGAAUUGAUUCAAUGAGGAUUCGGGGUCAAAUUGGAAGGAAAACCUUGCAAAUUCGUGUGCCCCCAUGACCCAUGACUUUUGGACCCUUUCCUUGGCUUCUUGUGGAAGAUUGUGGGUUGAAGUUUGCAGAGGAAGCCAACUGUGGGGUGAGGGACUGAUCAAGGGGACAAAAGAAGUGUAGAGACCAAGCUUGUUCCCCCCUUGUACCCUCUUUCCCUCUCUCUCCCGUCAACUGCUUCCGCCUCCUUUCUUCUUUCUGUUCAACGCCCAAAAACUGCAGAGAAGAACCAACUCAGCCUUCUCACCAUCGCAGCCAAUCGCCGGACCACCGUUCACUCCACCGCUUCGCUACUCGCUGUUCGGCGUGCUCGCCAACCCGUCGCAACCUCAUCGCCGUCUAGUCGCGUCGUCUCCGCCUGUCCUCGCCUUCAGCAAGCUGCCAAGGACGCCUGAGCCACCGUCAAAGCCCAUCAAAGCUCCCAUCACCACCGCCUAGACCCGGUUUGGUCCCCUCUACCCAUCUCAGCUCGUUGUCGCCUCAACCAGCCCCCGUUCUGCCUUCUCUCAGCCUAGACCAAAUCAGAACCCAGUGGGUUUUCAGCCAAGGUUUUGGCCCGCUUUGGCCAUUUCCAAACCCCGAAAGGCAAGCCCACUUUAGAGAAGAUCGAGCCUCGCCUCGUCCCCAUCGAUUUGAUCCAAGCGGAUCAAUUAACAAGUGAGUUUAACUCACUAAUUUUCGCUUAGUAGGUUAAUGAUAUUUAAGGGUUGAUUAGUUUAGGUUAAGCAUGGAUUAGGUGGUUAGUUAGUUUAGAUUAGCGGUUUAAAUAUCCGUUAAUCAUGUUAGGUGGUUAGAGUAGUGUAGUUAGAGCCUAGACAAGCUCUAGUAUUUAUCUAGAGUAGUUCGGAAAUUUUCCAGGCUUGUCUCGGCUUCCAAUUAGGCUUUUUCAGGCCUAAGUUGCAUUUUUGGCAUUUAUUUAUUAUUUUCCGUAAUUAUUUAAUUAUUUAUUUAUUUUCCAUAAAUUAGACUGAGAUAGCCGGUGACCGGAAUUUCGUGCUGAUUGCAGUAGUGUGAUCUAUUUAUUUAAUUGAGUUCUAAUUUAUGCUGAUUGAGGGUGAUUUGUGGUUGGGGGUAUUUAUCCCAAAAUUAAUUAAUUUCAGUAAUUAAUUAGAAAAUCACCGGGCAUUAGUUUACAGCGCCAAAAAGGAUUUAUGGGCUGUUGAAACUAGUUGGAUUAUUAAAAGUGAAAAUAUUAUAUUUUGGUUAAGGUCGACCGUAUACCCACAUACGAGUAUUUUUAUCGUGUAUGAUAAAAAUGGCGAAAUGGUUAAAUGAUCGGGAUGAUAUGUUAUAUCAACCUGCAGACUACAAUCUGGCACCUUCUAGUGAGCAUAAAUAGCAUAUUAUAUGAGUAUUUGCGGCAGCUUUUGGUGAGCAUAAAUAGUAUAUUAUAUGAGUAUUUGCGGCAGCUUCUGGUGAGCAUAAAUAGUACAUUAUAUGAGUAUUUGCGGCAGUUUCUGGUGAGCUAUACUAUCUGUAUAUCAGCUUAAAAUGAGCAAUCCUGAGUAUGAUCGGAUUUAUAGAUAGUAUUGAUUGAGAAGACCGGGGAAGGGUCUUGAUGAUAUGUAAUCGACUAAGUCGAUUAAUCCAUGAUUCGAUCUGGCUGGAUAAAUUAAUUGUGAAGUGAUUGGUUGUGAUAUGAACUAUACUGACUUGCAGGAAGAAUCUAAGGUAAAGCUAAGUCUUCUGACUCUUGUUUGUACUUAGGCAGCCUUAGAGCAUAUUUUCUUCUUAAUCGGGUCUUAAGGGUAAAACUCGCUGAGACGUCGUCUCACCCUAUUGUGGGAUAACAUUUCAAGUCCUUAGAUAGCAGCUCCUCCAAAGCAUUUUGGACAACCAAGGAAGAUCACAAAACAAAAGUACGACAUUCCGAUCCAUGGGCAUCCCGAGGGGCUGCAGUAUGAACUGGUGAAGUCUAUAAUUUGGGUUAAUGUGGGUCUACCCAAAAAGGUGCCCCAUCAAUACAGGGCAUGGUAUCGCCUAUAUCGUAAUUGGCAAAGAGAGAGCCCCGUGCAGAAAUGUGAGAUAUCUGUGUAUGUGAUGAAAGUUGCUUUUGAAAAGGGUACGGUAGACCUUAAGGGUGGUUCGGUGGUGGACCUGGUGGACCCUAAGCUUGAAGAUGCAAAUUCUCCAAUGUAUUCUGUUGUAGGCUCCAAAUGGAGUGUGAAAGAAGGAGAAAUCGUGGAUGAUGACUCGUAGUUGAUUGGAAACCCUACCCCUAUUUGCAGACCCUGUUUUCUGACCGAUGUUGUGUAGGACUUGACUCCUGUAGUUUGUUGUAUACAUAUGACUUAGUUUGUUGUAUAUGUAUAUAAGAGUGGUUGUUGUUUUAGUUCGAAAAUUUUGGCCCUACUUUUCUAUACCAUUGUGUGAUUGUCUAGGGAAUAUUAAUUGCUUCCGCAUGUGCAUUAAAAUGAAUGGGUUGGCGAUGCAUCUUGGAACGUUGCUAUCUAAUCGACCAAGCCGGGAUGGGCGCGCGCCCGAAGGGUCGAGGUGUGACACACUUGUCUCAUAUUCCCUAUUACUUCAUCAAAUGAUAAACUAUACUUUUAAUCCCUAAGUUUGAGCAUUCUUUUCCAUUCAAAUCCUCUAAGCUUUGAGUUUUGUCUAUGGCUUCAAUAUAUGAUUUCAUUCUUUGCUUCCAAUAGGCACAAUUGCUUCCAUCAAAGUAAGGUAGCUUGUUGGGAGCUUGAGUAUCAUUGGUAAAGAAGCCGCCAAGAUUAGCCAUGAUAAAGGAUCUUUGUAUUCAGAAGAAAUACACUUCAGAUAAAGAGUAAUAGAGCUCUGAUACCAAUUGUUGAGAUUAACAAUAUAACUUAGAGGGAGUGAAUAUGUUGUUUUCAAACUUUGAUGAUCUUUUGCGGAAAUUAGCUAAUAGCUAAGUAAAGAUCACCAUGACCUGAUAUUUAAUUAAACUCACACUAACGGUAUGCCAAUAAGAAUGAGAAGAUGAAAAAUAGCGGGACACAAAGAGUUAUAGUGGUUUGGCUUUAUUCUCAAGCCUGUGUCCACUCUUUAGAUUGAUAGCCUCAAAACGGGCUGGAUUCCACUAACAAUAUGCUUGGAAAGUUAUAACCGACUAGCAUUGAUCUUUUGUGUGAUAGAUCGCACUAUCUUGAUUCAAUUACUACUCUUACACUUGUACAUUUAAUCUGUAGCACAAUCGCUAAAUAGCACGACAAGCAAGACAGUAAAACAUAGAGAUUUAAUAUGAGAAUAAUAGUACGUAAGCUACUUGAUCUUUUAUGUGCUGCACUCUCUUGGUUCCUAAAGCCUUCUCUUUUAUAAUCUUUCUAAAACUAUUUGUUGAGGUUGAUUUAGAGAGAUAGGUCAUCGUUGAAGAGUUUCCAUUAAACUGCUGUCCAGAAAGAUACUACCCAUACAGUUCCGUUUCUAGGACUUCUGCAAAUUGACCAAAAAUGACAAUUGCUAUUGUCUUCUUACUGCAGUUUUUAACUCACUUAUUAGACACUCUAGCUACUCUACUACAUGCUUUAUUUCGAUUCUGCCGCUUUAAGAAUCCAAAUCUUACAAUGGCUCUUUAGCUAAUCCAACGAACAUCAACUGACGUAGUUGGUUAUUACAUCACCGUCAACCUGAUCUUUACUACUCUAAUAUAAAUAUCAUCAGUACCUUAUCUUUUUGGUUGACUAGUGUUGUUUGUAAUAAUAGGAGAAUCGCAAAAUUUUCCAAUUGGUCACACCAUGGAUGUUGCAUGGUCCUUUGGUCCAAACAUCUGCAAACAACAUAGUACGUAAUAUACUAAAGAUAGUUUGAGCAUAAUCAAAAUCUCUUGAAGAUGUUUUGUCCAAUAAAGACUACUUUCCUUUUUGUGGAUGGGGGCUAUCCAUUUAUUUUAAUACCUUUGAUAAAGAAAUAUUAAAAAUUUAUCAAAUUGUUCUUUCUUGGAUACAGCAUAUUUCACCCAAAAUGAAGCUCUUCUGAAUUCAAGGUCAUUAGAACCUGAGGAUUCGAAAUGUUUUUUUUUUUUUUGAGUGAUUUGAAAUUAGGCCAUGAAGGCCCUUUUUUUAAUACUUGUAUUUAUCAAUGUUGAAAUGAAAAUAAAAUAUGCUUCAUAAUAACUGAAUAUUGAAUACCAAAUAAUACCAGUUUGUUAACUAAGCAUGAGCACCUUUAAUAAGUUUUUUGCAAAAUAUUUAGCAAGAUUCUAUUGCCAAUGAGUAUCUUUUUCUAUUGAAUGAAUAAGUGGCCUUCCCUUCCUUGCCUAGCGAAUUAGUGUUUUUUCGACUUAAUUAAACCUUUUAAGCUUAUUUUUAUUAUGAUAACGGAAUUUGUUUAAUUUUAAUGAGUGCUAAAUAUUUAAGUUUUGAAGACUUAACCGAGUUAUCAAAUAGCCUACAAAUUUGGAAACUACUCACCUUAGAUUUACUCUUAGUAAACACCGUUUUAAUGUAUUGUAGCAUGGAUGUAAAUUUUGGUGAUUACACAUAAAAUUUAGAUGCAAACCAGUAAAUUAUUAAUCACCUCGACAAUGAAAUUCAAAUAUUAGAUAUUUUAUGUUGACUUUAGGAAAUUUAAAUAUGAGAUAGCAAUUUCUUUUACCAGCAAAGAAAGGUGGAAAUAGGCGAUCAACAUUUACCCUCUAAAUGUUAGGCAUUAGAUUUUAUCCAUGACUUUUCAAUGCAACGGUAAAUAUGCAAACGGGUGGAGGUUGGAUUUUUUUUUUCAUAACAUUGUUUGAUUGUGAUAAACUUGUUUAUAUUGAGCUACCACACUGGGUGAUAUACAAGAUAGUAUCUCAUGAAUAUGAAAAAUCUGAAUUAUGAAAUUUUUUCUCCCAUAUUUCAUACGAUGAAUACCAUAUAUAUAUUGGACAUUACCAAUCCGAGAUAAUUAUCGUGUAAUUUUUUUUUCAUUUUUUUUUCAUUUUUUUUCAUAAUUAAUGUUUUCGACGCCAUCAGUUUCUGACCAAUGUUCAUCUCCUCCCUCCCGUCCGGCGGCCCUGCUCAAACCGAGAGGCUUCCAGAGUUUAGAGAGAGAGAGAGAGAGGGAAGACGAGCUUCGAUGGAGUCAAGUCAACCAUAUCCAAGACUCUCUCUCUCUCUCUCUCUCUAUCCUCAUCUCCCUCCUCUCUCAACCCCUUCGUCUUCCGCCUCCAUCGCUACUUCUGCUCAUCACCGAUGCCUCCCCUCUUGGCUCCGCUGCAUAUAUGCCGACCGCAUCCGCUCCCCGAGCCUCGCUGAGCCGUCUCCGUCUCCCCCGGCUCCCGAGAGGUUCCGCUUGUGGGGCGUUUCGCUUCUCUCGGCGCCUUCAGCGGACGCGGCGGCGGCGGAGGAGGCGGAGUCGACGGUGAGGAUUGGAAGGUGAAAUCGGUGGUGGAUGGAGCCGAGGAAGCCUCAGGUGUCUCCUCUGAUGUGAUAAUUCUCGACGUCGGAGUAAGCCCCUCUCUCUACGUGAAUGUACGAGCUGAAGCUUCGAUUUUGUCGAUGCUUGUCCAACUUUCCCUGCAUUAUAAUGCUGAAGAUGUUAUUACGCGGUGCGUAUCAUGUUUCUUUUUCCAGUGUGCGGCCACUUGAGUGGCUCUGUUUCGUCUCUGCAGGGAAUGACUUGCGGGGGGUGUGCAGCGGGAAUGAAGAGAAUUUUGGAAAAUGAAGUGAGUUUGCCACUGCUUUUGUCUUUCUUGUAAGCCAUCUUUCAUAUGAAAAGAAUCGUCAUCGACUUGAAUUAAACCAAGUAUGAGAACUGUCAUUUUCUGAAUGUGAUUUGAACCCAGCGUGUUCUCUCUUUUUUUCUGCUCUAGCAUUGGACAGCCUCAAGUAUCUGCCGCCAGUGUCAAUCUUACAACUGGGACAUCUAUUGUGUGGCCUGUAUCUGAAGCCAAGGCUAUGCCUAAUUGGCAAAAAGAGUUGGGAGAAACACUAGCAAAACACUUGACAAAUUGUGGCUUUAAGUCUAACCCUUGAGGUAAGCGGUUUUAUUCACCAUCUGCUUGUUGCAGUUGAAUGGGGUGUGGCUGACAUUCGUGAAUAUCAUUGCCCCAUAUAAUGUACCUUUUAUCACAGAUUGUCUGUGUCGAAGACUCCAUCUGCUAGUUGGAAGUACGAGUUUUUAUAUCUGUAAUUUUCCCUGUCAUAUAAUACAAACUAACUCCGAGAAGAAUAUCUUUAAUGCAGGGGGUGGUUGACAAGUUCUCUGAACGCUCUCAUGGAUUUGGUUUUGUGACUUUUGAUGAGAAGCAAGCAAUGGAUGAGGCUAUUGAGGCUAUGAAUGGGAUGGACUUGGAUGGGAGAAAUAUCAUUGAGGAAAAAGCUCAGCCUCAAUGUUCAGGUGGAGACCAAGAUGUUGAUUGCAGUUGUAAACGUGGCCCUGAUGGGGAUAGUGGUACCCAAGGAGGAUCAGGAAAGGACUGCUAAAUCAGGACCAUUCUGGUCCCUAUGAACAUCGUGGUACCGGAAACUUCCAUUCAGGGUAGAAAGAAUAUUCCUGAUAGGUAUGUACACAAUUUUGUUUGCAGAUAUAUUAAAGCAGUUGAUGCUGUGCCGAUUGAAAAAUAUUUUGUGCUUGUAGCAGAGCAAUUGGAGGUACUGCUGUUACUUGCUGGAGCCAAAGUCCCUUCUGUUGCAUCUCUUCUUUAUUGUUCUCUGGGUGGACGAAUUGGCUUGAUCAGUUUUUGAUGUGUGAACUAUGGCUGAAAUAUUUGAAUGUUUAAUGUCCAUGAAUGCUCGUUUUGAUGUUUUGGUCUGAUGACAAUGCUUGCUUGACUUCAAAAAUCAAAUUUGGCCUUACUGUAUCAAUGCUAUAACGGGUCCUGGAUUCUUUUUGGGUUACAUACUUUAGCACUAACGAAUGCAUCUGAGAUUGAUCUUGGUUGACUUCUUCAUUGGCAUUUGCGACUGCGGAGCGCGGACAUCUUUUCGGUGUCUUGAUGGCUCUUUUGAGGAUAGGGCGAGAGAUUCACCUGUGGAAGUAAUGCGUUCUCUCUUUGCAAAAGAGAAGCUGCCUUAGAAAUGAAUGCCUCUUUUGGCUACGAUUUUUCGAAAGUCUUAACUUUUUGAAGAGGAGUUAAGCGGGUAAAUGCUAUCUUUUCUUAUACACAUUUAGUAUGUGAGCUUCCUGUCCAUAGUCUGCACUAUAUUAACUCUGCUAAGCUUUCGGCAGGAUUCUUGGCUGUUUGUGGUGCUUUGAUACACGGUCCUGUUACUUUCAUGUCAUAGGACAAGGUGUUAGUCUUAAAAAUUCUGAAUAGUCCUUUUGUCCUCAGGAAGCUAUUACUUUGUACUGAUGGAUGAGUUCUUUCUCAGUAAAACGUGAUCUUUUGGAAGCUUUGGUGAGCAUGCCAAUUUGAUUUGCAUUUUCUUCUUCCUAGCAAUCUCCCGUCUCUUGUUAUCAUCUUGGUGGAAGAUAUCUGGUCUUUGUCUCCUCCGUUUGCAUGGUGCUUCUAUCUUGUUAGGUUUCCCGGAUAAGUUACCCUUUCAGGUGUAAUGAUGGCUUUUCCUUUGAAUUGGCAAUGUUCCUAAUAAACACAUGGUUCUUUUUGCUUGGGCAGCUGUGCGUGCAUUGACUUGCAUUUUUGCACUGAUGAUCUUUGCUGCACACAUUCAGCCAAUCAUUUGUGAUUGAUCAUGUAUCUUCCCCCCUAUUCUUUUAGAAGUUGUGCUUGCUCCAUCUAAAUUUGAUACUCUUGGAAUAAGAAACAACCGGAUAUGACCAUCUCCUUUUCAGUUUUUCUCUGUAGUUACUUGGUUAAGGUUUUUGUGCAUUCUUAAAUAUGGUUCUGUAAAUGAAUAUUUUCUUUUCCCGUUGCUUGUCAAAAUAUUUGGAGAUCAAAGUGGCAACAUGUGCUCAGCUGGGAAGAGUACACUAUUCUUCCUUGUUAGAAUCAGAGGGGAAUUUUAUCAAGGUAUUGGUUAAUUUUCAAGUAGAGUUUGACAGUAGAUUCUAUCAAAUUUCUGUUGAUCUAUGCGACUUUCUUUAUAUAGUUAUUUCUUCAAUCUCAGAACUAGUCACAUGCAUAACUUGAUCCCUAAUGUCAAGGACUUUCUUAAUAGAUUUUUCAUAAUUUCAAAAAUCAUUCUAGAGUCCACCCCCCCAAAAAAAAAAAAGAAAAGAAAAGAAAAGGGGAGCUGAAAUAGGAAACCCAAAGGAUCCUAAUCAUUAAAUUACAAAGUACAAAAAUGUCCAUGGGAACGCGGUGACCAAAUCACCAUAUGAGUUAUAAUAACUCUACACUAGGAAAUAAAAACCAUAGCAGACCACGAAAUCACAUUUAUGGAAAUUCAAGACUAGGAAUUUAAUUACGUAGAGUACAUCUUGGAGGGAAAAGCUUGUGUGCGCGAUGUUAGCGAAGUCUAGUUCUGUCGAUGGAUGAGGAGACCAUAAUAGCAAGCAUGGACUGCGUUUUAAUCUUGUGCUGAAACUUUAUCAUCAUAAGCCCUAUUUCUUCAGUCUUGUCUUCUCCAUUAUCCACUGAUGCUUCCAUUGCUUCAGCCUCUACACAAUCCAAGUGCAUGCCAUAAUCGCAGUCUGUGCAACAGUAGCACCAGCAUCCCUUGGCGAUGCUCUCCCAGCACAUGUCGGAUCAGGCUCUAUUCUUGCGUCUGGGAAUAGCACAAUGUGAGGGUGCUCGUGGUCCUUGCGCUUUGCCCUUGUCACCAAGUCGGUGCACUCCACAUAGAGAUCGUAUUGGUGGAUCGAGCAGUUGUAGGAGGAUGUGUCCCCGUCAUCUCCACAUGCGUCACAAGUGAACUCUCUCCCCUCGUAAGGUGGCGAGAGGAGGAAAUGAAGCGGGUACUCAGGGUGCAACUCAUGAUGAAUAGUUCUCAUUGGUUGUCGCUGUCCACCACUGUCUGGUAAUGCUUUUGGUACUUUGAUAGACCCAUGUUAUUGGGUUGCUGGGACGACGGUGCCCUGAAGGUUGGUGUAGGGAAGUUGGUAGCAGGGGAUUGGUGCUCUUCGAUAGCCUCCACAUUUGGUUGCUUUGCCAACAUCCCGAAACUCGAUGGCCUGGUGAUGUCCUGAGCCGGUUAUUGGUGCUCGAGGUAGAAGGAGAAGAGUGAGGCUGCAUAGCUCACGUGUGGGAGAAUGAUCUCCUGAAGCGGGAGAGGGUUGUUGGUACAAUGGACAUGGAGGUCGAAGUCGCACGGCACACAAGAGUAAGAGAUGCCGGUGCAAGGGUGGCAAGGGCAGCAGAGGAAGGAGGCAGAGGGGUAGGCUGGGGAGGACAUUAGAAUGAGGGGGGUGGGAAUGGUGGUGGACAGGACGCUUCGCAUGGAAGCAGUGCAAAUGAAGGAAGUAGCUGCACUAGAUGCAGGCGAAGACGUCCAAUGGCGCUUCGACCUGGGAUUCGCAUUCGAAGCAUUGAAUCGGAUGGUCAAGCCCUUAUUGAAAGGGUUGGCAAAGGAUCAGGUUGUGUGGAUGGCUGAAAUGCUUGUGUGACUCCAUCCAUGAAUUAGGCUGUGUGUGUGUGUGAAAGAGCGAAGGGAGGGAGGAAGGUUGGCUUAUGAAUUCCACUAGGAACUGCUCAUAUAAGCAGGAAAUAGUGGAUGUCGAGGAAUCAAUGGAAAAACAUUGAAUAUUCUCUAAAUGAUGUGUUGGACAGAGUCAAUUACAAUAUACAACACUUAUGUAAAAACUUGUGUUUUUCAGUUGGAUCCAAUGUGAAUUUUAUUAUGUCUUGAUAUGUGAUUGCCAUAAUCUAUU
This 37981-nucleotide long non-coding RNA is filed under the name Eucalyptus grandis. Its description in RNAcentral is "long non-coding RNA (EGRA_LNC006683)". The record is from RNAcentral. Lineage: Eukaryota; Viridiplantae; Streptophyta; Magnoliopsida; Myrtales; Myrtaceae.